This 426-nucleotide ribosomal RNA is filed under the name uncultured bacterium. RNAcentral describes it as "bacterial SSU rRNA". It matches the Rfam family "Bacterial small subunit ribosomal RNA", at positions 958 to 1397 of the family's 1533-position model. The record is from RNAcentral.
AACGCGAAGAACCUUACCCAGAUUUGACAUGCUUGUGAAACUCUAUUGAAAAAUAGGGCUUCUCUUCGGAGACACUUGCACAGGUGGUGCAUGGCUGUCGUCAGCUCGUGCCGUGAGGUGUUGGGUUAAGUCCCGCAACGAGCGCAACCCUCGUCCUUAGUUGAAUUUCUAGGGAGACUGCCGGGAGAAACCUGGAGGAAGGUGGGGAUGACGUCAAGUCAUCAUGCCCUUUAUGUCUGGGGCUACACACAUGCUACAAUGGCCGGCACAACGGGUUGCCACUUCGCGAGAAGGAGCUAAUCCCUUAAAUCCGGCCUCAGUUCGGAUUGCAGGCUGCAACUCGCCUGCAUGAAGUCGGAGUUGCUAGUAAACGCAGGUCAGCAUACUGCGUUGAAUAUGUUCCCGGGCCUUGUACACACCGCGAGC